This 548-nucleotide ribosomal RNA is filed under the name uncultured Glomeromycotina. RNAcentral's name for it is "SSU rRNA". It matches the Rfam family "Eukaryotic small subunit ribosomal RNA", at positions 548 to 1098 of the family's 1831-position model. The record is from RNAcentral. Lineage: Eukaryota; Fungi; Glomeromycota.
UUGGAGGGCAAGUCUGGUGCCAGCAGCCGCGGUAAUUCCAGCUCCAAUAGCGUAUAUUAAAGUUGUUGCAGUUAAAAAGCUCGUAGUUGAAUUUCGGGAUCAGUACGCUGGUCGUGCCUUGGUAUGUACUGGUGUUACUGGUUCCUACCUUCUGACGAACCGUCAUGUCAUUAAUUUGGUGUGGCGGGAAAUCAGGACUGUUACUUUGAAAAAAUUAGAGUGUUUAAAGCAGGCUCGCGCUUGAAUACAUUAGCAUGGAAUAAUGAAAUAGGACGUUCGAUCCUAUUUUGUUGGUUUCUAGGAUUGACGUAAUGAUUAAUAGGGAUAGUUGGGGGCAUUAGUAUUCAAUUGUCAGAGGUGAAAUUCUUGGAUUUAUUGAAGACUAACUACUGCGAAAGCAUUUGCCAAGGAUGUUUUCAUUAAUCAAGAACGAAAGUUAGGGGAUCGAAGACGAUCAGAUACCGUCGUAGUCUUAACCAUAAACUAUGCCGACUAGGGAUCGGAUGAUGUUAAUUUUUUAAUGACUCAUUCGGCGCCUUACGGGAAAC